GUAUAACCUACCCAGUGUAUAAUAUAUUAACGGUUACACAAUAGUAUUAAAGUAGCGUAAUAAAUUGUCAUUUAAUUAAUGAAUANAAUGAAGGUUUAAUGAAUUAAAUUCUGUCUUUAAAAAAUAAAAUAAAAUUAAUAAUUUUGUGAAAANUCUUAAUUUUUUUUUAAAAGACGAUAAGACCCUAUAGAACUUAUUUAAAGGAUUUUAAAUUUACUGGGGAAGUAAA
RNAcentral lists this ribosomal RNA (229 nucleotides) under Kladothrips torus. RNAcentral describes it as "partial 16S ribosomal RNA". The record is from RNAcentral. Lineage: Eukaryota; Metazoa; Arthropoda; Insecta; Thysanoptera; Phlaeothripidae.